RNAcentral lists this ribosomal RNA (75 nucleotides) under Burkholderia ubonensis. Its description in RNAcentral is "partial 23S ribosomal RNA". The record is from RNAcentral. Lineage: Bacteria; Pseudomonadati; Pseudomonadota; Betaproteobacteria; Burkholderiales; Burkholderiaceae.
UAGGUCGGGUGUGUAAGCGCAGUAAUGCGUUCAGCUAACCGAUACUAAUUGCCCGUAAGGCUUGAUCCUAUAACA